RNAcentral lists this ribosomal RNA (497 nucleotides) under uncultured bacterium. Its description in RNAcentral is "partial 16S ribosomal RNA". It matches the Rfam family "Bacterial small subunit ribosomal RNA", at positions 28 to 507 of the family's 1533-position model. The record is from RNAcentral.
GAUGAACGCUGGCGGCGUGCCUAAUACAUGCAAGUCGAGCGAACAGACGAGGAGCUUGCUCCUCUGACGUUAGCGGCGGACGGGUGAGUAACACGUGGAUAACCUACCUAUAAGACUGGGAUAACUUCGGGAAACCGGAGCUAAUACCGGAUAAUAUAUUGAACCGCAUGGUUCAAUAGUGAAAGACGGUUUUGCUGUCACUUAUAGAUGGUCCCGCGCCGCAUUAGCUAGUUGGUAAGGUAACGGCUUACCAAGGCAACGAUGCGUAGCCGACCUGAGAGGGUGAUCGGCCACACUGGAACUGAGACACGGUCCAGACUCCUACGGGAGGCAGCAGUAGGGAAUCUUCCGCAAUGGGCGAAAGCCUGACGGAGCAACGCCGCGUGAGUGAUGAAGGUCUUCGGAUCGUAAAACUCUGUUAUUAGGGAAGAACAAAUGUGUAAGUAACUAUGCACGUCUUGACGGUACCUAAUCAGAAAGCCACGGCUAACUACGUG